This 911-nucleotide long non-coding RNA is filed under the name Sus scrofa (pig). RNAcentral's name for it is "lncRNA (ENSSSCG00050037628.1)". Lineage: Eukaryota; Metazoa; Chordata; Mammalia; Artiodactyla; Suidae. The record is from RNAcentral.
GCAGCGCCCUGGGGCGGUUUGGGGGUGCCUGAGACGGAGAGGGGGCCUGGGCCGGAGGCCCGGGGUGGGUUAGGGAGCGCCCCCGGCCCGACGCUGCCCGCGCCUCUGCCGCCGCCGCCGCCGCUGGCUGGGCUCCGGGAAGCUAGUCCGGAGCGGAGGAAUCUAUUGUUAUUUAUUGUGUGGCGGCUGAAUGCUGUACUCGCGGCGGCCCGGCCCUCGCCCGGGAGUGCGUGUGUGCGCGCGUGUGUAUGUGUGUGUGUGUGUGCGUGUGCGCGAGUGUGUGUGCGGGGUGCGCGCGCGGGCGGGAGUGGGCGCGCGCGGGGAAAGGCCCGAAAACACCUUAGUUUGCACCGAGAGACCAUUUGCAGCGGAACCCGAAAGUUUGCAAGAGGAAGAGAGCGCGCGGCGAACAAGCGGGCAAGGGGCAGCGGCAGCGGCGCCGCCAGGGACCAUGGUGCUGCCGGCGCCUCCUCCGCGGGCGUGAAGGCGGCGCUCCCACUCUCCCCUCGGACUCCGCGGGUAAGUCGAGGCGGCCUUGGGCACCGGGGCGAGGACGGGGGCGGGUGGGGGAAGGGGCACCCUAGAGCUUCGGGCUGCACCCCGGGGCUUCUCUGCGCCCAAAGCCCCAACAUGGGCGGUGCGAGCGCAGCGAUCAGGCGUAGGAGCCAGGAAUGUGCCCAUCCUCAAGCCGUGUCCCAGGAGCUUCUGCUGACAAUUCCAGUUUCCACACGCAACAUUUGGGCAAUGGUGAGGGCUUCGGUCCCUUCUUUGGUUUGCUGUCAACCAUGAAUGGAUGGAUUUGAUGCCUGCUGGCCAAAAGGGUGAGUGAACAUUUAUGAUUAUUCGUCUGAAAAUUCACCAGACCAAACGUCAGCUCAAAGGGGUCCUACCCAGUGCAGGAAACUGAAACA